UGAAUAGUGACUGAGAAGCAGCAGGCUACAGUUCUUUUCCUCUGAAGAAUUUAGUGUGAGAUUUUUCUUUUCCAAUGUAAGAGCAUCCAGAAUGAAGAGUCUGUUGUAUUCAUACCCAGGACAUUUGCUGGAAAGACCAAUGAAUGACUGGCUAGGAAGAAGAACAGAUAAUAAUGUGUCUAACCCUUCACUGGGUCCUACCUUUGCAUAAGCAGAUCUGUGCAAACUGUAGGUUGCUGGAAAAUAAGGACACUAUCACAGAAUGUUUAAGGGCACCUUACUACCUCCAAAUUGAGUUGGUAGGACAAUAUCUCAAAAUGUCAGAGGUAUCCAAACAACAACCAGCUGAAGUAAUCACCUCUUGUCUGAUGGAGACUUGUUGGCACAGAUAA
RNAcentral lists this long non-coding RNA (392 nucleotides) under Anser brachyrhynchus (Pink-footed goose). Its description in RNAcentral is "lncRNA (ENSABRG00000013341.1)". The record is from RNAcentral. Lineage: Eukaryota; Metazoa; Chordata; Aves; Anseriformes; Anatidae.